RNAcentral lists this transfer RNA (557 nucleotides) under uncultured Prochlorococcus sp. Its description in RNAcentral is "partial 16S-23S ribosomal RNA intergenic spacer". The stretch from base 145 to 218 matches the Rfam family "tRNA". Lineage: Bacteria; Bacillati; Cyanobacteriota; Cyanophyceae; Synechococcales; Prochlorococcaceae. The record is from RNAcentral.
AUUCUUAGGCCGAAAUCCUGUCACCUUAGGUCGAUCGGUACCUCAGCUUUGAAGUCAAGGAUCAGCAGCAAUGUUGAUUGCUUGAUGGAGAUUUUCAGUUCCUAAACUUUGUCUAGGUCACACCCCAAAAGGGAUGAGACUCCUGGGCCAUUAGCUCAGGUGGUUAGAGCGCACCCCUGAUAAGGGUGAGGUCCCUGGUUCAAGUCCAGGAUGGCCCAUUCGGUGUUGGGGGUUUAGCUCAGUUGGUAGAGCGCCUGCUUUGCAAGCAGGAUGUCAGCGGUUCGAGUCCGCUUACCUCCACUGAUUACCACCUCUUCCAUAAUCGGUAGAAAGGAAAUGUUUUGAGUUGUGAUCAAAUUCUGAACGAAUCUAGCUUCCUAAUGAAAUUAUUAAGAUGCUGGACUCAUUGAAUUAAUUUCAUUGUUUUCAGAGAACCUUGACAACUGCAUAGAUUAUUUUUAAAGACAAUAAGCAUCUUUAAUGAUGCAGAUUUAUUAUUUGUGCGAAUGCAUUAAUAACAAUUCUAUUAAGCUGAUGCUUCAAUUUUUGAAGUUAUU